UUCCUGUUCUACCAGAGGUUUGCCUUUCAGUAUAUUCAAUUUUAUUUAUUUGCUUCCAUUUUCUUCUAGGAGAGAUUCUUUAGCAGGUCUCCAUGCUUCAUCUUAUCAAGCUCUACUUUUCACCACGAGGGCUGAAAGCCCACAAACCGCAUCCUGCCGUUGCCUUUCCCAGCCGAGUUCGGCUUCUGUCUGCCAGUUGGAGGCAUUCACGGAAUUGGAAAGUGUGAAGAGAUAGAAGCUAUUAUGUUUCUGGCAAGGCCUUACUCAGCAAGUGUCAGUGCGGAACAGGGUGACCGGCAACUCCUGCAACAGUGCCAGCAGUGCCUACUCUGACAACAGCAGCUGUGGACUCCUGCCUAGGAUAUCCAGAGCAUGAAGAUAGACACUUGGAGCAGCUGAACAGCAAGGCAGAGCCAGGGUGGCAUGGAUUCCCACCAGCACUGGCUCCUGCAGUGGGUGGUAGUGGCUUCUGGCACAUAAGGAGUUCUGGAAACAACCCCUUCUACUUUUCGAACUUCCAGUCUUUAGAACAAUUUGGCAAACCCAUAUUGAAUCUCCUUGACUUUUAAAUAGCUGGAAUUCCCCCCCCCCCCCCCCCCCCGCCCUUGGUUGAAAACUGAUGGAUGGAGCCAGGGCCAGGCCUGCUGCUCUGGAAGCUUGUAAUCAGAGAGCAAGAAAUCAAACGCAGAAGGAGCAAGGUUAGUGCCAGCUCAGUAAUACGUCUCUGUAGACCGACGUGGUCCAAUAAAGCCGGAACAUAAGCUACGUUUGAAAUUUUUUUUUUCUGGUCACCACAUUUUAAAGAGAGUCAAACAAAACAGGUAAAAUUAAAUUCAGUAUAAUUUCAUCUAAUCUAAUAGAGUCAAAAUAUUUCUACUUCCACAUAUAAUCAAUAUAACACUGUGAUUAAUGACUUACUUAAUAUUCUCUGUUCGUAUUAUAUGAAAUCUGAUGUGUGUCUUACUAUUACAGCAUAUUUCCAUCAAACCAGCCACAUCUGAGCCUCAAUCACUAAGUGUGUUUAAGAGUUCUGUAUUGGACAGCAUGACCUUAAACCCUUAGGGCUGAGCUAGCACCUUGCCCUCCACAGAUCCUACCGUGGUCUACAUGGUAGUGGCCCUGUGAUACCAAUCUCUCAUGAGGAGGAUUCCUCCUGGCAUGAGUUUCUUUUUUUCUGGUACCAGCAAUUGAACCUAGGGGUGUUUUACCACUGAGCUACCUCCCCAGACCUUUUUCUUUUGUAUUUUGAGACAGGGUCUCACUAAGUUACUGGGGGUCUCACUGCAUUGCUGAGGCUGGCUUUGAACUCAUGAUACUCUUGCCUCUGCCUCCCAAGCUGCUGGGAUUACAGGUGUGUGCCACUGCACCCAGCUGAAUAUUUCUUUUCUUGUGGAAUAUAUUCUUCUGAGAUUGUUGAUGAUAGUUUCUUCUUUAAUGUCUAAGAUUUUAUUUUUCCAUACUUUUUACUGAUAUAUAUACACAGUGGUGGGUAUUUGUUGACACAGGUGCAUGCAUACACAUAAUAAUAGAAUUCAGCCAACAUUGUUUCCAAGGGUAUCCCCUUUUCCUCCCCUCCAUAGUAAUUUCUUGAAGUAUAUUUUUGCUUUUUGCAUUUUCUCUUUUCCUUUUUUUAAAUGUUAUAGCUCAAAGCAGGUGAAUUUUAUGUUAAAGGCAAAAUCAAAUGAAUCUGGCUUGGAAAAGACAAAGGAUGCUUUUCCCCUUGAAAUAAGAGAGGGGAGGGGGGGAAGACAGGAGAUGAACCUAUGUUUUAAGGAGCAAACCAAGGAAACUUGUGUGAAGGGAACUGCGUCUCUGAAAAGUAGGAGAUUUUGUUUUUGGAAUUGUGAGGUGUUGCAAGGGCAAGAGCUAAAGAUUAGAAGGAAGCGUACAGAGCCCUGCAAUGCAGGAUUCAAAUGCUGAAAACACAGAGUUGACUGAAGACUCCGGAAUAGCCUAGAUGCACAGCUGACCCAAUCAGUUUUGAUGACCAUCUCUAAACAGUCUUGGAGAGAUAGGGGGACAAGACUAAAACGAGGCUUGCUGCAGAAUGGUGGCCAGAGGCAGAGAGACAAUGGAGGUGUCAGGAGGUUCAGGAGAGCCUGGUGAGAUGACCCAGCUUGGACAGAAAUGGAACAGAAGGAAGCGAGAUAGACCCUCGUGAGAAUCAGUGUCCCUAAAGUUUAUCAGACAGUAUGGAAUCUGUUCCUCAGUCUUGAGAAAACAGAAGAGGUCACAGGAAUGCAAGAGGGCACAGGAAUAAAAAGACAAUUCCCCAGCAGGAAUCUCUCUAGAUUCCAGCAUGGGUUCAAGUCCUGGUGUGGAAGGACCUAGGGAAAGUCAGGUUAAGUAGCCUGCUUUAUGGCUGCGAGUGAAAGUCUUUGGAUUUUGAGGUCCAUUGACCCCUACGUUUCAAAGUCAGUAAUUUAAGGAUAGAUUGCAAAAAGGAAAAUUUCUGUUACAACCUAAAGCACUGGUCUUGUAAAUAAACUCCUUGCACAAUGCCCACCUACCAAAAAAUAUAAAUAAAUAAAAAAUUUAAAAAAUAAGAGUCAAAAACACCCGGUAACACGGGGCCUGCAGCAGAACCCUCUCCAGGAGCCAAUGUGAAACCAUUACAUCAUUCCUCCCAGUCUCUCCGCACUGGCGCGCUCAUGUGGAUCGGAACCACCAGAUGGCGCUGUUGGCCUAAGAUCUAGCCCACUGCCCAGCCUGGAGGUCCUGGAAAAGCCUGACCUGAAUAGAAAACUUCCCUAAUCACCACAUUUAAUUCCAAAGCAAAACAGCAGAAAAACGCUGCGCAUCCCAAAGAAGCCAGGGAAUAGCAUCUGGCCGUACUUGCGUGGCCCGUAGGCAAGUCAUCGGUGGUUAUUUAAAGUUUGAUUUCAAGAAAAAGACUUCAAAAAAUAUUGAGAAUUGGGGAGUGAGCGCACCGCGGGCCAGAGUUCCUUUCCGCAGUCCCCGACGUGGAGCGUCCCUGCAGCCGCAGCGGCGUGGCUGGCAGAGCGGCGCGGAGGUGGCGAGCUCCGGGAGCCUACGCAGCGUCUGUCUGCGCAGUGCCCAGAUGGCAAGGGCUGGAGAGGCCCCCAGAAACCUGCGACUCGGUUGCAUUUCCCCCCGCUCUGGCCCUGUUAUCCUCCCUCGCCACCCCUGCUCCCGGCCUGCGGCACCUGCUGGAUCUGACCACCUCCGCAGCUCCAGGGGCGGCGCGCGCUCCAUGGUGGCCGCAGCUGGUAGUGGGUAGGAAUGAGGUCCUAGUUAGGAGUUCCAGUCAUUAGGGCCGCCCUAUUUACAAACUUGAAGGUCCCUGGGGCUCCAGGGUGUGUGUACCACUGGUAUUUUCCAGAAUACUAGGUGUAGCAUCAGGGACAACCUCUAGCACAUCUAGGGCGGUGCGUGCGCUCCUGGGUCCGUGGGCGCUGGCCCGAGAGUGACCCACUGGCUUCCACUAAAGUGCACAGUAAUGCCUGAGCCCACUGCCGCGGGCUCGGGGGCCUCCCUCUCGUGCGCCCAGCUCGGUGGCGCAGCGGUCCCCGCAGGCGCGACGCUAGGCCUCCCUCUGCGGUAGCGGGGGCGGUGCAGGACUGCGGGACUUCUCCUGCCCAGGUCAUCUGCUCCGCGCGCAGCUGGGCCGCGGACUGGAAGAGGCUGAUGAAUUUUUCAUCGCGAUUCCCUGAGCUGUCGAUCUGAAGGCAGUUUCUGGGGCAGGAGCCAUUAAGGACCCGACUGAGCUAGGGGCAGCCCCUCCCGGACCGCACUAAUGACGGACUUGAGAGGGAAACGGGUUUCUCUCCUCCAGGCGCUUCUUGGUCCCUUUGGGCCUGGUUUAAUUUCCAGGCAGGAGAAGGGCCGAGUGAGGAAAGACACGUGUCCAGUUUAGUAGCCUUUGCAGGCAGCCUGUCUUGAGCUCAUCCUAGGGGAGUGUGGGGACACUCCCAUCCCUGUCCCUCCUCCUCCCAGGAGCUCAGGAGCGUCCAGGGAGAUGAGACUUCCAUAUUGAGGGUGAGAAGAGUUGAAUGUGGCCAGGGUCCAGGGAUGGAGAACCGGCUGGGAGUGGCUUAGGGGCUCAGGGCGGGAAGGUUGAGUGAUAGAGAAGGUGAUGGAGACAGUACUGAGAAGAAGCCAUGCAGUGGCCACCUGAAGAGGCCGGAGGGGGACAGGGUAACCUUGAGCUGGGGCAGGGAGAACACUGGCAUCUUGAAGGCGUGGCUUCGAUCACGCAGCGCACAGGGAGGCCCACCAUGCAUCUGAAAGUGGAGGUUUCUUAAACCACCUCCUUUUAUAAAAACGUGCAAACACAGAUAUGCGGGGAAAUCACCAUCCACAGAAAAACACCAGGGUUCUUUUUUGGGGGGGUGCUGGGGUCCGGAAGGGGUGUAUGUACUAUCCAGGUCUUUUGCUAUAUGGAUUUUUAAAAUAUGUGGCAUGUUAAAAAUACAUAUGGACAUUACAGUUAUAACAUGACAGUGUUAAACAUUGUAUAUUGAGGCAUUUUAAAGUAUUAUUAUUUUUUCCUUAUAAAAGGUAGUACAUAUCUUUGUCAGUUUAUAAAAAAAAUAAGUGAAUCUGUGAAGAAGAAGAAAAUACCUACCAGAUUACAAACACAUUAUAAUGCUUUGGUGUUUCCUUAAAUAAUAUUUUUUUCCUGUGCAUGUUUAAUUUCAUUGAGACCUUACACUAUGUAUUCUUUUUUUUUUAAAUAUAGUUUCAAAGAAACAUGGAUAGAAGACUAUGCAAGAAAGUUUUUUUAAUCUCAUGGUAGAAAACAUCUCAGGGUUUCCGAGUGGUCCCCCCCCACACACACACACACUUGAGGUGAAAAAACGGGGCGGGGUGGGGACUAAAUAGUCCAACAAAGUUCCUGUUCCCAACUUCCCAUCAUGCCCCAUCCCUGGUUGUAGCCAGGAUUCAAGGUCUAUGAAAUCCCUUCUCAAAAAAACCUGUGCAGGCAUUGGUUGGGGGCUGAUCUUAUCCGUUUUUGUGUCUUGCUGGGAACAUUAAUUGAAGUUAAUUUUAGCACCUUUUACAAAGCGUAAAAAAAAAAAAUCAGGCCCACUCGAAAGUUUUCCUCUGAAACAUUAAAUGUGGAAAGAAUAUGGAACAACAUUUACAGAGUUUUAAAGAAAAGGCAUUUGCGAAUGACGAAUUUCUGUCCUAUGCCCUAUGUCCUAUUAUCUUCCACGUUUAAAAUCAACAGGGGGGACAUUUUCCUUAAAUGAGAAAAUAUGUCACCUGGUAUAUUUCUUGGGAGAAAAAAACUCAGGGGGAAGGUUUCCAUUUCUGGCUGUACAGGAGGACUUUGUAUCAGAAUCACCUUUGCACUGAAGAACUGUGAAAACUGAAUAAAAUGGAAUAGAAAAUAGUGGCCUGGAAGCAUCAAAGAGCAAUCAAGUCUGCUGGAUCCGAAGGGCCAAGAUGUCAGGAAGGAGAAGGGCGCAUUGAAGUGAGGCCUUUACAGCUCUUCUUGUCUCCUGGGACCAUUUGCUGACUCAUGUAGUGUCAUGGGGUGUGGAAGCCAAACAGAAAGUGACAGCUCAUUGCUUGCCACCGUCAAAAAAAUUGGAGUUCAGGAUACAAGAUUGCUGAGACUUGAUGGACCAUGAACAGAGAGGAAAAGGAAUCCAAGAAAAUUGAGAGUCUCCGUGCAAUUUCUCUGCAAACCAUUUCUUGAUCUCUAAGCUGUGCAUGUGAAGUGAGAUGCCAAGAAAUCAAACAAAAGCAGCUGCUAAGAGGCUUAAAAGCUAAGCCAAGACGCUGGCACGCUCCCGUCUCUGGGUAGACAUGACUUGCACUUCAGGUUGCCAAGGAGGAGGAGUGAGACCUUGUCAGUUGAGACCUUGAAGAUCAAGCCACCAGAAUAAGAGCAAAAAUCAGGAGAGCAGCCCUGGUACAAGGUGCAGCACAGCGUCCAGGGGCCUCAAGUCUCAUUGGGAUGCACAGGGACUGCCCUCCAGAAAAUAGACGCAAACACAGCCUUUCUGGAGGAAGCUAAUGUUCUAGGGCCACUAGAGCUUUUGUAUUUGAGCUUCUGUUACCAUCAGGUAAUCUUAAAGGGGUUGGUCUCCGUGAGCCACAGAGCUGACCUGAGCUAUUUGAAGACUCUGCUCCCAAGGACAGAUUGGAGGGGAUAAUGGAUGCCGACUUUGAGAAGCUGCAAGAGGGCCUCCUUGUGGGUCAGACGCCGAGGGCGGGAAGCUUGUUCAACUUGGGAGCAACUAAGAUGUCUUUAGGAGGUGAAGGAGUAAAUAAGCUAUAGUCCAUGUAGACAAGGGGACAUGGUGGAGUGCUCAGGGGAAAUAAAAGGAGACAAGGAGGAAACUCAAAUGCAUGUUGUUGAAUGAUGGGAGACACUCUGAAAAGCCAUCUUUGGAUGGACGGCCUGAUUGCAACUAGAUGUCACUCUGGAAAAGACAAAACUCUGGGAUGGUAAAAAAGGUCAGAGGAUGCCAGGGUUGGAGGAGAGUGAGGGAUGAACUGGCAACGCAUAGCUAAUUUUGGGGGUGUGAAAUUAUCCUAUGUGAUGCCACAGCGGUGGGUUCCUGUCCAUAUACAUUUGUCAACAUCCACAGAAUGUAUGAUACCAAGAUCGAAGGCUCACAUAAACUGGGUGACAGCAGGUGCCAAUUUCGGUUCAUUGACUGGGACAACUGUAACCACUCUGGUGGGGAUGUGGACAUGGUGGGCUGGACUUUGCAUCCGGAGGCCACCUCUUUGGCUCCCUCAACUCUUUCUACCUUCCUUUCAAUUUUGCUGUCAACCCAACACUACUGUGUGAAAAAAGUCUUUAUGUUUAAAAAAAAAAAGACAUCACUCAAGUCUCAUGGUCACAGUUGGAAAAGUCUACAAGGAGCAUCUCUGUUGAAGUACCCAUGAAAUUGUCCCUAAGAGGUAAAACCAACCAACCAUACUUCUGGCCUCUUCUUCUUAAUCUCCUCUGGCCCUUCCUGGAUCUUGGAAGGGUCAGAGACAGCAGUUGGCAAGCUGUUCUGGGAAGGAAAUGCUGAGAGAAAGAGGGAAAAAAGGAGGAGCCAUACUCAGAUUGUCCUCUGCAGGUGCCCAGAGGAGAGGAGGUUUGAUAUUAAGUCGAAAAGCUCUGACUAUUGUCAGGGACUGGCUAUAUUAGUUUCUGGACUGUGAUUGUGCUUGCAACUUAAAGUGACAGUGGGACUUGGGAGUGAGCUGAAAUGUCAUGACAAGUGUUUGUCUCAGGGCCUCCAGGCACCUUGCAGAAACAAACAUAAAUCACCCCUCGAGGAGAGCACUGCUCUGUAAACACCACUGAAUUCCCAGGGCUUCAAUUCAACUGCAUAUAAAUUCCAAAUAAAAAUUAUAAGCACUCAAAAAAAAAAAAAACAAAAAAAACAAAAUAAAAACAAGCCGUAGGUAGUGAGAGUCAGCAGAAAUAAAUGCAUUUAGACCAUCGAUGACUCUAGAUACUAGAUUUCUUGGAUAUGGAAUAUAAAAUAUGAAAUUUAUAGAGAGAUAAAUGCAAUCACAAAAUGAGGAAAAAAAUCAGAGACCAUCAGCGAUGACCAGAGGGAUUUGAAAACUGGCGAAUAGAACUUCUAGAAAUAGAAUGGGUACGUCUAUGCAUCAGUUGAAAUGAAAGCUCCAUGAAUGUUUUUAACAACACAUUACAUGUAGUUUAAAGAGAGUUCAGACCUAGAGGGGACUAUCUGAGGGUAUUACCCACAUACAGCAAAGAGAGAAACACAUAGAAGAGAGCUAUGUAGUCAUAGAGGAUAAAAUGAAAAGGUCUAACGUAUGUCUAAUCAGAAUUUAAAUGAGACAAUAAAGAUGAUGGUGUGGGGAGGGGAUAUUUGAAGAGACACUGUCUAAAAUAUUUCCAGAAGGAUAAAAGUUGGUCUUUCAUGGAUAAAAGAAAAAUAAACAGGGUGAGUAAAAUACAUUCCAUUGUAGUAUUUCAUUGGUCAUUGUAGUAUAAAAGACAGUCUUAAAAUAAUUCAAAAAGAAAGUCUAGGUCAUCUAAAAAAGAAGAAAUAUAUGACUAAUGUUAGAAUUCUCACCAGCAACAAUGGAAGCAGGAGACAGAAAAACAUAAAACAAGUACCUUAAACAUGGCGAGAAUAAAUAGUCAUUUAUUAAAUCAAAAAGCUCUGACUAUUGUCAGGGACUGGAUAUAUACAAUAAAACUGUAACUGAAAACAGGCAAAAUAAUGCCAUUUUUCAGACAAGCACAGAGAGAGUUUAUCUGUAACAGAUGUGAGCUAAAUGGAAUUCCAAAAGAUCCACUGUAGAAAAAAAGACAAUGAUUCCAGAAUAAUGCCAAUAGCUGUCUAAAUCAGUAAUGUUAAUAAUGUCAUAUUUAUGGGAUGAAAAAUAGAUUUAACCUGGUAGCAGAUAUCAAUAAUAUGCAAGUUGAAAAGAAAGUGAUUGAAGUUAAAGUGUUGUGUUUCUCAGGAGGGGCCUGGAGACUGGAUUAAUGUUUGACAUUAAAUCUGCAUGGUAAAAUUUCAAGAAUGAUCUCUGAAAGAAACAACAACAACAACAACAACAACACAGAGUUCCAUGAACAGAGGGGGAAAAGCAUGAAAAAUAUACAGUGACUGGAAAGGAUGAGGUUGACAUAGUUGAAACAGUGGGAAUAAAUUCAAUUCCUUAGUAGUCAUAGUGAAUAUACAAGGACAAAGCUUGUCAAUCAAAAGGCAGAGCUUAGUCAGACCAGAUAAAAAGCAAAGUCUAGCUAUUUGCUUUUUAGAAACAACAAAAACAAAUGAAGGACAUAGAAAGGCUAAAAGUAAAAAGGUAAACCAAACAAACAAAGAAAACAACCAUUCAACCCCAAACCAACCUAGGGUACCUGUAUCUAUAUCAAAUAAAAGGUGAGGCAAAUUUUUAGAUACAGUGGGUAACUACGACAUGUUGAAAGACUUAAUUCACCAGGAGUGCAUAUCAAUUUUAAAUACAUAUGCAACUAAUAAGAUGGAUACAAAAUAUAGAAAGCAAACAUCCACAAAAUGUCAAGGAGAAAUAGGUAAAUCCUCUACUAAGCUCUGUCUCUAGUAUGAGAUUGAUUAAGAGGACAUAAACAAGUGUAGAGAAGAUUUGAAACAUAGCUAACAAUUGGAGUUGGUGGGUAUAUAUUGAGCCCUGCACCUAAAAUCUUUAAUAACUGGAGAACACAUCUUUUCAAGACUACAUGUAGCUUUUUGCCGUACAUGCAAUAGUCCUUAAAACAAGUCUAGAAAAACUUCCAAGAAUUACUAUUGGAGAGAUACAACAGAAUGAUAAAUGUACUAAAUGCCAAAAAUCUAAGGGUGAUGCUAAAGAAGUAAAUUCAAGGAAAGUCUAAGAGACUCUAUGGGAAAAGAAGAAAGGUGUAGAAUUAGUGAAUGGAAGAGGCAAACUAAGUUUGGUAAAAAAAAACAGCAAUUAGAGAGGAAGUCCAAGGAAAGAGCAGAAAUAAUAAAUAAAUACAAAGAGGGAAAAUGAAUAAAAUAGUGAAUGCACCAGAGAGAACCUGCAAUGUCAAAAGUUGGUUCUUUGAAAAACAUUAGGAAUACAGACAAAUCCCUAGAGAACUUAUUCUAUUAAAAUGAGAGCACAACUAAAUAAUUAGGAAUAAAUCAAAAGAAUAUGAUCACAGAUACAGAACACAUAAUUGAAGAACAGUCUAUGAAAAAUUAUAUAGAGUAGCUAGCAACUUUACAUAAAAAGACAAUUUCUAGGAAAAUAUAAUAAUCCUAGAUCAAGGUAAAAAUAGGACAAACAACCAUAUAACAUUUAUCAAAAAGGAAAAUUAGUAGCUUAAAAUCUUCCCAGAAAGAAGAAAAGCAGGCUUGGAUAAUUUUGUAGUUGGCUGUAUUGAUGUUUCAAGGAAGAGAGAAUAUAUUACAGAAAUUCUUCCUAAAAUUAUAAAAAAGAGGGAACUUAUGACAUGAGGUCAAUACACUCUUGUUUCCUAAACUGGGCAAAGAUAGUAGGAGCUCACCAUGAACACUGGUAAGAUAUCUUAAACCCAACUUUGGUAGACUAAAUCCGACAGUGUGUGAAAACUGGGGCCACGUGGGGUUAUCCUGGGAUGUUUGCAAUUUGUUAUUCACUAGAUUAGAAAAGAAAAGCAUUAAGAUUAUUUCAACAGAUGCAGACAAAACAUUUGAUAAUGUUCAAUCUCUAUUUGUAGUUUACACGAACAGGAACUAGAAAUCAUUAGUCUGACAAAAUAAACGUACCCAAAACCUUCAGCAAAUAUUACAUGUAGUGGUGAAACAUUAGAAGCAUCCGAUUUAAAAUCAUAUUCAAGAAAAUUACUGUUAAUGUUGUUCUGGACAUUUAACAUUUCAUAACUGGCUCAGGAAAAAGAGAGAGGGAAGGAGAGAGAGAGAGGAAGGAAAGAUGGGGGGACGGGAGGUAAGGAGGAGUGAAGGAAGGAAGGGGAAGGAGAGAGAGACUAGAACAAAGAAAACAUGAAUGAAUGAAAAAUGGUGAGCAUCGAAAAGGAGGAAAUAAAACUAUCCUUAUUUGCAGAUAUUAUACUUUUCUGCAAAGAAAAACCCAAAUGAAACCGUGGGCUGAUUAUAAGAGAUUCGCAAAUAUUUAGCAUAGUAAGUAGAUACAGGAUCAAUAUUAAAAAUCAACCCACAGACAUUUCAAAAAUAUUCUAAAAUGAUGCUCUUUGCAACAGCAAUAAAACACAAGCCAGCCAGUAAUAAAUCAAGGGGAAUUAUUAGGAAAAUUAUAAAAGAACAAAGAUCCAAUAAUAAUGAAGACUUUCCUACAGAAAGUAAGAGGGAGUAAGAACCUAGUUUAUCAGAUAUGGAGGUUUAGUAUAAAGCUAUAGUAUAUAAAGUAUUCUAAUGCAGCAUUGGAUCACAUCUACAGAAAAAAAAAUAAACAGAACAAUGAAAUAGAAUUGCAAGCCUGAAAUAGACCCCACUGGAGGAAAUACAAUUUUCCCAGGGGUAAAAGAAUGGACUACUUGACUAAUGGCGAGAAGGUAAUUGGAUAUUUAUGUUGGAAAAAAAAAAUUCAACUGGAUUCCUUGAUCACACUUUUGCACACUCAGAUCAAUUCUAGAUAGAUUACAGGCAGUUAGAGAAAAAAAAUUAGGGGGAUAUCCCAAUGAUCUUGUGCAAUAGGAAGGAUUUCUUAAGUCUCAAAAUGAAAACCGUAAAGCAAGAGAAUGAUAUAUUUAAUCAUAGAGAAAUAGGGCCAGGCCACUCAGAGCCCCCCACAGGCCUAAGCAAGUGACUUGGGGGUCAUGCCUGAGUGCCUCAGAAUGACAUCGGAGGGUUUGGAGUCAGAGAGUCUCAUGCAAUUUACAUGCUAAAAAUUACUUUGGUUGUUUUGUGGAUAAUAAAUUUUAUGCAACAGGAAGAGAGCAGAUGAACUCUUGCAAGGAAAUUAUUCCAGUGAUCUUGCUGUCAGGUCAUGAAGACAAGGCUGGCAUGGUGGAGACAGAAGGGCAUGGAUUCAAAAUGUAUCUUGGAAAGAAACCAAGAGGGCAGGCGUAGGUUAUAAGUGAAUGGGGAAAAUCCAAGAGGAUUCAGAGGAUUUUUGGCUCAAGCAACUGGUCAACCACAAUGCUAUUGGGGAAUCUGGGGAAGGAACUAUUGAAGAAGGGGCUAAGAAGGAUUUAAGACAUCCCUUUUGCCUGUUCAUCAGCCAGAGGGCUUGGUAAAGAAGGCCUUGGGUGCACAAGGAUGAAACCGAGGUCAGGAGUGGAGAUGUAAACAUUUGGAGAAUUUUCAGUAAAUAGUAUUUAUAAAUUAGAAAUGGUAGUUUAAGGCCAUGGAUAAAGGAUCUAUGUAUCAAACAAAGCAUUUACUCAACCUAGAACAUUUUGGUGCUCAAAAAUAUCUGAUGAUUCAAAGUUCCUGGGAGUAGUUUUUUGUUCAAUAGCUGUGUUAUUUUAAAAAUUUGUUCUAAUUAGUUAUACAUGACAGUAGAAUGCAUUUUGACACAUUGUACACAAGUGGAGUACAACUUCUCAUUCUUCUGAUUGUGCAUGGUGCAGAGUCAUACCGAUUGUGUAAUCCUACGUGUACAUAAGGUAAUAAUGUCUAUCUCAUUCCCCAUUCAUUUCACCUCCACUCCCCUCUGCCUAAUCCAAAAUUCCUCUAUUCUUCCCUACCCCCUCUCAUUAUGGAUCAGCAUCUGCUUACCAGAGAAAACAUUUGCCCUUUGGUUUUUUUGGGUUUGGCUUAUUUUGCUUAGCAUGGUCUUCUCCAGCUCCAUCCAUUUAACUGCGAUUCUUCUUUAAAGCUGAGUAAUAUUCCAUUUUGUAUAUAUACCACAUUUUCUUUAUCCAUUCCUCUGUUGGAGGGCAUCUGGUUGGUUCCAUAGUUUAGCUACUGUGAAUUGAGCUGCUAUAAUCACUAUAGUAUAUGCUAAUUUUAAGUCCUUUGGGUCCGUAGAAGAGGAUUUCAUGCUUGCUCUGACACUACUGUCACGUAAAACCUUGUAGUAAGUCAUUCCUCCUCUUUUCUCUCUUUAGAGAUUUCUCACCUAUUAAGAUAAAGGUGUUGGACCAAAUGACUUACACAACUCUAUGAUUCCAAGGGAAAUGACAUGAAAAACAAGCCUUUCCAACAGCAACAUCAGCCUUCUUGUUACAUGGAACCGGCUCUUUCUUUUUUUUUUAAAUAACAAAUCACAUGGGGUUAGCAGGAAUAUAAGAAAUAAAAGAGCUAAGUGAUCUGCACUAGAAAUAAACAGGACUUAGGAAUUGAGAGAAAGAGAAGAAGUUGAGGGAAGUCAGCAAGACACUGGGGACAGAAGAUUUGUUUUGAUGUAACCAGUGAACCUCUCACGGCGAACCACUCAUGGCGGGGAGGAGAUCCAAAGCAGGUCUGGAACCGGGUUAUACUAUGUGCAGUUUCUGUAGUUUGCAUUGCUGAGGUGUAAAUUUGAAGUCUGCCAUGCAGAAGAUGGGUAUGAGCAUGAGUUUUAUUUAUUUAUUUUUUAUUUUUUUGUGAAAAUAAAGGAAAACACUCUCUUCAAAUCUGGAUUGAUUUGGUACAGAAACGAGGCAGCAUGUAGCAUGUAAGGGACCACAGUAUGAUCCAUCCUGACAGCUAGCUCAGUCAGAACAGGGGCUCGCGGUCAGGGGUGGGGUUGACCAUGAGAGGCUGCGGUUCCUCCAGGAAGCUGAUACAUCUCUGGCAGGGCACCAGACUGCCCAUGAACCUUGGUGCUACUAUUUAAGUCAAAGGAGUGGGAAGAUCAGGGUGACCACAACUUUCACCAGCUCUCUCCAAACCAAACUUGGGUCUGUGGGAGCAAUUCUGAGUAUUCCACCAGUUCUUUGUACAAUACUUGUGAAUGUUGUCAGAGUCAAAACGGAGUUGCUCUUAUCAAAAUCUGACAAAAUUUAUAUAUAUAUAUAAUUUAAAAAAUUUUAAUAUAUAUAUGUAUAUAAUAAGAAAAUAUAUAUAUAUAUAUAUUUAUAAAGUAUAUAUAUAUAUAUAUUUAUAAAGUAUAUAUAUAUAUUUAUAAAGUAUAUAUAUAUAUAUUUAUAAAGUAUAUAUAUAUAUAAAGUAAAAUAAAGCCAGGAGGACCCUCAUGCUCACACGGCUAUCCUAUUACCUAUUACAGAGACUCUGAAGGGCUCCUCUACGUAUUAUAUACCUGCAACAAAAACCCUUGCCAAGGACUUCCAAACUGCAACUUUCUCUCUGUGGCACAGGAUGGUGAGCUAAUUUACAAGAACACAUGCCUGAUGUCCUGUGUGCACUGAUGAGUUAAGUGCCAUGGCUGGGCCUUUUG
Molecule: long non-coding RNA, 13725 nt
Filed under: Marmota monax (woodchuck)
Lineage: Eukaryota; Metazoa; Chordata; Mammalia; Rodentia; Sciuridae
Source: RNAcentral